Molecule: long non-coding RNA, 277 nt
Organism: Oncorhynchus tshawytscha (Chinook salmon)
Lineage: Eukaryota; Metazoa; Chordata; Actinopteri; Salmoniformes; Salmonidae
Source: Ensembl
GGCAUGGUGAUCUUUACUGUAAGCAUGGCGUGCUUUACUGUAGACAUGGUGUUCUCUACUGUAAGCAUGGUGUUCUUUACUGUAAGCAUGGUGUCCUUUACUGUAGACAUGGUGUGCUUUGCUGUAAGCAUGGUGUUCUUUACUGUAGGCAUGGUGUUCUUUACUGUAGGCAUGGUGUUCUUUUCUGUAGGCACGGCGUGCUUUACAGUAGACAUGGUGUUCUUUACUGUAGACAUGGUGUUCUUUACUGUAGACAUGGUGUGCUUUACUGUAGGCA